This 566-nucleotide ribosomal RNA is filed under the name Colletotrichum simmondsii. Its description in RNAcentral is "eukaryotic LSU rRNA". The stretch from base 190 to 343 matches the Rfam family "5.8S ribosomal RNA". Lineage: Eukaryota; Fungi; Ascomycota; Sordariomycetes; Glomerellales; Glomerellaceae. The record is from RNAcentral.
GAUCAUUACUGAGUUACCGCUCUAUAACCCUUUGUGAACAUACCUAACCGUUGCUUCGGCGGGCAGGGGAAGCCUCUCGCGGGCCUCCCCUCCCGGCGCCGGCCCCACCACGGGGACGGGGCGCCCGCCGGAGGAAACCAAACUCUAUUUACACGACGUCUCUUCUGAGUGGCACAAGCAAAUAAUUAAAACUUUUAACAACGGAUCUCUUGGUUCUGGCAUCGAUGAAGAACGCAGCGAAAUGCGAUAAGUAAUGUGAAUUGCAGAAUUCAGUGAAUCAUCGAAUCUUUGAACGCACAUUGCGCUCGCCAGCAUUCUGGCGAGCAUGCCUGUUCGAGCGUCAUUUCAACCCUCAAGCACCGCUUGGUUUUGGGGCCCCACGGCACACGUGGGCCCUUAAAGGUAGUGGCGGACCCUCCCGGAGCCUCCUUUGCGUAGUAACUAACGUCUCGCACUGGGAUCCGGAGGGACUCUUGCCGUAAAACCCCCCAAUUUUUUACAGGUUGACCUCGGAUCAGGUAGGAAUACCCGCUGAACUUAAGCAUAUCAAUAAGCGGAGGAAAAAC